This 1309-nucleotide long non-coding RNA is filed under the name Homo sapiens (human). RNAcentral's name for it is "novel transcript, sense intronic to CNOT2". Lineage: Eukaryota; Metazoa; Chordata; Mammalia; Primates; Hominidae. The record is from RNAcentral.
UUUUUUUUUUUUUUUUUUUUUUUUUAGAAAAAUCACUACUGUCGUAUUAAUAUUACUGUUUUCUUUAGAGUGGUGUAUAACUCAGCCCUACCUCAAGAGUUACUGAUGUGUACCAUUGGUCUAAAACUAUAGUAUAAAAAAUUUUGCAAACUUUAGUAUAAUUGAAACAACUUAGAAUUUUGACAUGAAAAUAGUAUGAAAUGUAUAUUGUAAAACCUCUACCCUUUAAAUGUUUUACCUCAGCACCACAAGACAGGGUGAGAAAAUAGAAAAAAAAACAAACAAAAAUACAUGUUUCACUUCUUGGUUUUUCUAACUGUGGUCAGUGUCAGCAUGAUUUUUCAUCCCUGGAAACCACAGAUCAGCCUCUGAUAGUUCUCUCUUUUGUGAGUCUCCAUUAACCUCCUUUUCCCGUUAUACCCCAGCUAGUCAACAGGACAUAAAAUAACUGUUACUUCUACCACCAGAAUGCGUCUUAUUUUUAGUCUCACUUCUGCUGUUGUCGUUUAGUAUCUCAGCAUAUCCCAUUUCUGCUAUUAGAGGUAUCUUCCCAAAACCCAUUUUGAUUGCCACCUUCUUGCUUAAUAUUAUUUUUCUUUUUAUUGCUAUAGUUGGUAGCCAUUCUUGUAUGACAUUUAUUUCGCAUUCUUCUAUGCCAUAACAUGGGUGAGCUUUAUCUCCAAAUAGAGAUGAACUUUAUCUCCUUUCAUAGUUAUCCUAUCACCACUGUUUAUGUUCUCUAAUAAUAUUACAAAUCUUUAUUUUUUUUAACAACUGGAUACUGGGUUUUUGUGUUCAAUUUUUAAAUUUUUGUUCAAUUUUUUUGAAUUUCAAUAGUUUUGGGGGUACAGGUGGUUUCUGAUUACAUUACUAACCUUUGUUACACUUAUACUCACUGCAUAUUCUUGAGGGAAGACCCCUUCAUUGUAUGUACCUAAAUGUUACCACUCUAUAGAGUAUUCCUGAUACCUUUGUGUAGCUCCAGUGAUGUUUCAUGUUUCCUUUAGAGCAUUUACCACACUGUGCCUUAAAAUAUAAUGAGUUGUAUAAUUCAUUCUCUUUCCCCACUAGAUUGUAAGCCCCUUGAUGACAUGGCUCAUGUCUUAUUUAAUUAGGAUGUUUUGAUGGUUGUCUAAUAUAAGACAGGAAAUACGCAAAUAUGCACACACACAUAUUUUCAUUUACUCAGCUUCAGUAUUUACUUUUGAGUAUAUAACACUGCUACAUUCAUUUCUAUGAGGAUAUAUAUAAUGAAUGUAUGUUCUGUGAACAUAUCUUCAAAUAAUUUACAUCUACAAGGAAAAAAAAA